UGGGGAAUCUUGCACAAUGUGCGCAAGCCUGAUGCAGCCAUGCCGCGUGUAUGAAGAAGGCCUUCGGGUUGUAAAGUACUUUCAGCGGUGAGGAAGGGAGUAAAGUUAAUACCUUUGCUCAUUGACGUUACCCGCAGAAGAAGCACCGGCUAACUCCGUGCCAGCAGCCGCGGUAAUACGGAGGGUGCAAGCGUUAAUCGGAAUUACUGGGCGUAAAGCGCACGCAGGCGGUUUGUUAAGUCAGAUGUGAAAUCCCCGGGCUCAACCUGGGAACUGCAUCUGAUACUGGCAAGCUAGAGUCUGGUAGAGGGGAGUAGAAUUCCAGGUGUAGCGGUGAAAUGCGUAGAGAUCUGGAGGAAUACCGGUGGCGAAGGCGGCCCCAUGGACGAAGACUGACGCUCAGGUGCGAAAGCGUGGGGAGCAAACAGG
Molecule: ribosomal RNA, 429 nt
Filed under: Chloroflexota bacterium
Lineage: Bacteria; Bacillati; Chloroflexota
Description: Chloroflexi bacterium partial 16S ribosomal RNA
Rfam family: Bacterial small subunit ribosomal RNA
Source: RNAcentral